UACGGAGGGUGCAAGCGUUAUCCGGAUUCACUGGGUUUAAAGGGUGCGUAGGUGGGUUGGUAAGUCAGUGGUGAAAUCUCCAGGCUUAACUUGGAAACUGCCAUUGAUACUAUCAAUCUUGAAUACCGUGGAGGUCAGCGGAAUAUGUCAUGUAGCGGUGAAAUGCUUAGAUAUGACAUAGGACACCAAUUGCGAAGGCAGCUGGCUACACGAAUAUUGACACUGAUGCACGAAAGCGUGGGGAUCAAACAGG
Molecule: ribosomal RNA, 253 nt
Filed under: uncultured bacterium
Lineage: Bacteria
Description: partial 16S ribosomal RNA
Rfam family: Bacterial small subunit ribosomal RNA
Source: RNAcentral